AGAGUUUGAUCAUGGCUCAGAUUGAACGCUGGCGGCAUGCCUUACACAUGCAAGUCGAACGGUAACAGGUCUUCGGAUGCUGACGAGUGGCGAACGGGUGAGUAAUACAUCGGAACGUGCCCGAUCGUGGGGGAUAACGAAGCGAAAGCUUUGCUAAUACCGCAUACGAUCUACGGAUGAAAGCAGGGGACCGCAAGGCCUUGCGCGAACGGAGCGGCCGAUGGCAGAUUAGGUAGUUGGUGGGAUAAAAGCUUACCAAGCCGACGAUCUGUAGCUGGUCUGAGAGGACGACCAGCCACACUGGGACUGAGACACGGCCCAGACUCCUACGGGAGGCAGCAGUGGGGAAUUUUGGACAAUGGGCGAAAGCCUGAUCCAGCCAUGCCGCGUGCAGGAUGAAGGCCUUCGGGUUGUAAACUGCUUUUGUACGGAACGAAAAGACUCUGGUUAAUACCUGGGGUCCAUGACGGUACCGUAAGAAUAAGCACCGGCUAACUACGUGCCAGCAGCCGCGGUAAUACGUAGGGUGCAAGCGUUAAUCGGAAUUACUGGGCGUAAAGCGUGCGCAGGCGGUUAUAUAAGACAGAUGUGAAAUCCCCGGGCUCAACCUGGGAACUGCAUUUGUGACUGUAUAGCUAGAGUACGGCAGAGGGGGAUGGAAUUCCGCGUGUAGCAGUGAAAUGCGUAGAUAUGCGGAGGAACACCGAUGGCGAAGGCAAUCCCCUGGGGCCUGUACUGACGCUCAUGCACGAAAGC
This 756-nucleotide ribosomal RNA is filed under the name Acidovorax temperans. Its description in RNAcentral is "bacterial SSU rRNA". It matches the Rfam family "Bacterial small subunit ribosomal RNA", at positions 8 to 760 of the family's 1533-position model. The record is from RNAcentral. Lineage: Bacteria; Pseudomonadati; Pseudomonadota; Betaproteobacteria; Burkholderiales; Comamonadaceae.